UUACAUCGCGCAGAUCUGUUCCAUAUUUGUUCCUAUUUUGUUCUUCACUGUGAUUAUUUUUGUCUUUAUGCGAGAAGUGUUUUAAUUUAAAGCACACACAGGAAACAUUAAGAAGGUCAUGUACCAUGUGGUCGACCUUGCUGACGCUGAAGAGGUUUCUGUGUAAAAAUGAUGACAUUGAGACAAACAGACCAGUUCCGGCUGCCGUGGAGGUCAACACACCACUGAUCUACUGGCUGCCCUUCAACGUGAUGCCCAGCCGAUGCCUGACCACCGACGGAACCCGUUAAAUCUCCUUAUCCGUUUACAUCCCAUAUAUAUAUAUAUAUAUAUCUUUUCCUCCUAGGACUUUUUGUUCCUCCCUGAGGUUUUUCUCCUAGGGUUUUUUUUAACCCCCGGGGAGUCAAGCAACAUUGGCUUAACUUAGCACCCUCUUGUAUAUGAGACAUUAUUAAUUUGCUCGCUUGUAAAGUUUAUUCAUAGCCGCUGUAUUUUGCUACUUAUAUUGUCUGUCGAUUUUUCUAUGUUUCCCCUGCUUCUUUUAAUGUAAAGCUGCUUUGAAACAACUACAAAUUGUGAAAAGCGCUAUAUAAAUAAAAUUGAAAUUGAAAUGUCUCUUUCCUGUUUUACAGAUGCAGUGAGGGAGUGAUUCCCCAACAUCGAGGUGGCAGAGAUCCGGGACCUUCUACGGAGGAAGUGCAACAAUGCCAGUUACAAGGCCCCCAGUAGUUCAAAUCAGAGCUAGAUGUCCAUAUAGUACAAGUUGUUCGCAAUUGUUCUCUUCCCGGCAUUUCAAAGAAAGUCGACUGUUUAAGGUUCCCCAUUUUGCCAAUAUCUGUUUUGUGUGUUACUUUUGUGUCAAUAAUAAAGAUCCUUUUUGA
Non-coding RNA from Misgurnus anguillicaudatus (oriental weatherfish), 881 nucleotides. Lineage: Eukaryota; Metazoa; Chordata; Actinopteri; Cypriniformes; Cobitidae. The record is from RefSeq and is a predicted model, not a curated record.